GGCAGGCUUAACACAUGCAAGUCGAGCGGAGAGAGGUAGCUUGCUACUGAUCUUAGCGGCGGACGGGUGAGUAAUGCUUAGGAAUCUGCCUAUUAGUGGGGGACAACAUCUCGAAAGGGAUGCUAAUACCGCAUACGUCCUACGGGAGAAAGCAGGGGAUCUUCGGACCUUGCGCUAAUAGAUGAGCCUAAGUCGGAUUAGCUAGUUGGUGGGGUAAAGGCCUACCAAGGCGACGAUCUGUAGCGGGUCUGAGAGGAUGAUCCGCCACACUGGGACUGAGACACGGCCCAGACUCCUACGGGAGGCAGCAGUGGGGAAUAUUGGACAAUGGGGGGAACCCUGAUCCAGCCAUGCCGCGUGUGUGAAGAAGGCCUUAUGGUUGUAAAGCACUUUAAGCGAGGAGGAGGCUACUUUAGUUAAUACCUAGAGAUAGUGGACGUUACUCGCAGAAUAAGCACCGGCUAACUCUGUGCCAGCAGCCGCGGUAAUACAGAGGGUGCAAGCGUUAAUCGGAUUUACUGGGCGUAAAGCGCGCGUAGGCGGCUAAUUAAGUCAAAUGUGAAAUCCCCGAGCUUAACUUGGGAAUUGCAUUCGAUACUGGUUAGCUAGAGUGUGGGAGAGGAUG
Molecule: ribosomal RNA, 625 nt
Filed under: Acinetobacter calcoaceticus
Lineage: Bacteria; Pseudomonadati; Pseudomonadota; Gammaproteobacteria; Moraxellales; Moraxellaceae
Description: bacterial SSU rRNA
Rfam family: Bacterial small subunit ribosomal RNA
Source: RNAcentral